GCCGGGAUGGCGGAAUCUGGCAGAUGCGCACGCUUGAGGGGCAUGCGGGAUCUCCCGUAGGGGUUCAAGCCCCCUCCCGGCA
Molecule: transfer RNA, 82 nt
Filed under: Pseudomonadota bacterium
Lineage: Bacteria; Pseudomonadati; Pseudomonadota
Also listed under: 2 other names
Description: tRNA-Leu
Source: RNAcentral